AGCUUUGCGCAGUGGCAGUAUCAUAGCCAAUGAGGUUUAUCCGAGGCGCGAUUAUUGCUAAUUGAAAGAAUCUCUAACACAAAUAAAAACUGAAGGACUUUUUACCAGUAGGACCGCCUU
Molecule: small nuclear RNA, 120 nt
Filed under: Neogale vison (American mink)
Lineage: Eukaryota; Metazoa; Chordata; Mammalia; Carnivora; Mustelidae
Description: Neovison vison (American mink) U4 spliceosomal RNA (ENSNVIG00000004736.1)
Rfam family: U4 spliceosomal RNA
About the family: U4 small nuclear RNA (U4 snRNA) is a component of the major U2-dependent spliceosome. The structure of U4 snRNA from yeast and human has been reported.
Source: Rfam by way of RNAcentral